AACGAACGCUGGCGGCAUGCCUAACACACGCAAGUCGAACGAAGCCUUCGGGCUUAGUGGCGCACGGGUGCGUAACGCGUGGGAAUCUGCCCUUGGGUUCGGAAUAACAGUUAGAAAUGACUGCUAAUACCGGAUGAUGUCUUCGGACCAAAGAUUUAUCGCCCAAGGAGGAGCCCGCGUAGGAUUAGGUAGUUGGGGGGGUAAUGGCCCACCAAGCCGACGAUCCUUAGCUGGUCUGAGAGGAUGAUCAGCCACACUGGGACUGAGACACGGCCCAGACUCCUACGGGAGGCAGGAGUGGGGAAUAUUGGACAAUGGGCGAAAGCCUGAUCCAGCAAUGCCGCGUGAGUGAUGAAGGCCUUAGGGUUGUAAAGCUCUUUUACCAGGGAUGAUAAUGACAGUACCUGGAGAAUAAGCUCCGGCUAACUCCGUGCCAGCAGCCGCCGUAA
Molecule: ribosomal RNA, 449 nt
Filed under: uncultured bacterium
Lineage: Bacteria
Description: partial 16S ribosomal RNA
Rfam family: Bacterial small subunit ribosomal RNA
Source: RNAcentral